GAGAGAGAGAGAGAGAGAGAGACAGAAUCUGAAGCAGGCUCCAGGCUCUGAGCUGUUAGCUCAGUGCUGAAUGUGGGGCUCGAACCCACGAACCGUAAGAUCAUGACCUGAACCAAAGUCAGCGCUUAACUGACUGAGCCACCCAGGCAUCCCUGAAUGAUGGAGGCCUUCUUGCUGUGUCCUCACAGGAUGGAGAGAGGAAGAAUAAACAGGAGCCACUCCCCAAAGAGAGGAUCUGCUGCUAUCAGAAGUAUGCUCUUUCAGAACAUAGCACAUGAAAGCAAGGACUGAGGUACCCUGUGGUGCUUGAAUGUCUGUGAACUCUUUCUUAAAGCAAGUCCUGAUAAGAGGGAGGAUACCCAAGGGAGAAGGAGGACAGAUCAACGGUAUAACAUUUUUUCCUUCCCCCAGUACGCCCAACCAGUAAGACUUGACUCACCCUUUCUCAGGAACUGAUAUAGAAAGAGGAUCUCAUUGAUCGUUUUACUGGGCUUCUGAAUCAGUCAAGUGAGGUUUACUGCUGUAAAAAACAACACAAAACAAAACACGACAUUGAAUGGAUCUAUGAAACACAGGUUUCUGUCUUGUUUGCGUCAAGGUCCAACAGUGGCGAGGGAGGAGAAGAGGCCCUCUCUGCUCAGCACAGACAUCUGGUGACUCAGACUUACUCCGUGCGUCAGCGCUCAGAGAAAAGGCCUCAGGGAGGAGACAGGGUUGGAGAAUUGCAUGAAAGGCUUUACUUGGGAGGUGAUUCCCAGGCCACACUCGCUGUGUGUCCAGCACAGUCAUAGUGAGCUGCAAGCAUGCUCGGAAAAGUGCAAUGGCCUCACGUAAAUAGGCCGUACGUUUUAAUUCCAAAAAAACUCUUACCGUCAAUGAGCAGUAUUUUAAAAUACUUUUAAAAGCUGCCUUUGAAAUCCGUUUAAAAAAAAAAAAGCCCAAGAACUAUAUCUUUUGGAGGUCACAUAUAAUUUUUGUAAUAGAGUUAACAUUUAAUAAUGUAAAUAUCAUGUGGUAGAUAUAUUGAGGUACCAGAACAUAAAGUUAUAUUCUGAAAAGAAUAUUUGAACCAGAUUUUAAAAUAACCUUGAUGUUAAGGAUGCUGCAUAACUAAGUCUGGUUGGAAGUUCUUCAUCAUAGGGGCUCAUGGGUGGCUUGGUCAGUUGAGCGUCCGACUUCGGCUCAGGUCAUGAUCUCAUGGUUCGUGAGUUCGAGCCCCGCGUCGGGCUCUGUGCCGACAGCUCUGAGCCUGGAGCCUGCUUCGGAUUCCGGAUUCCGUGUCUACCUCUCCCUCUUCCCCACCCCCGCUCUCUCUCUCUCUCUCUCUCUCUCUCUCUCUGUCUCUCAGAAAUGAAUAAACGUUAAAAAUUUUUUUUUAAAAGUUCUUCAUGGUAUCAAGCAAAAUAAAAAGUGCUAAAAAUAUUGUAGGAAGAAAGACAAGUCAAAUUCACGGUGAAAAUCGUCCCAUGUUUAGGAUUUUACCUGAAAAUGAUGCAUACAUCUGAUUUAAGUGGCUUAGCAGUUCCACAUGCAUUCUCUCCAAAAUUCUAAUUAAAAUUCUUCUGAAGACGCAGGGAGCAAGAGACAAAAAUUCCAAAGUACAGAAAGUAAAGACUGGCAGAACAUCUACUGCCAGAAUCUUGGAAGACUUGACAGUAAGUAUAAGGUAAACGGAUCCGGAUGGAGAAUAAUCUUCUCAGACUUGAGCACAUAGCACACUUUGAGUCGGCUUCAUGAAACCAAACCACCUGAAGCAGGCAGGAGGAUGAUGAGUGCCUCCUUCCCCAUGUGCUAUCAAGUUUAAAUACACAGGAUGAGCCCCCACAGUUCCUCACCUGUGGGAAUAUCUUUUCAGUCCAGGCAAAGAAUAAGGGGCCCAUAAAAUAACUAAGUGGAGAGUCAGGCUAACUGGUGAUUGGUGCUGGGAGUGUAAUCUCAUGAGGAAAGGCGAGCACGUGCCUUCAGGAAAAACCCUGGGAGCAGUGCAUGCUAGGAAAUUAUGGUUCUUUAUUUACUGUAUCUACCCAGAGGACUGGGAUGUUACGCAGCAGGAAAUGUGGCUCAGUGCAGUUAAGAGUGCCAGAAGUUCCAUUGGAACAGGAUUUUCUUAUUCGCUGCUUCAACUGGGUGCCUUGAACAGUGGCUGGUACAGAGUAGUUAUUGAAUAUAAUGAUACAGAGAAUUGACUGGAAAUGUGGUCUUCAACUCCAUGCCACUGUAAAUCUUAGUGUAAACCUAAAGGAUACAGACGAAAAAAAUAUAAUCAUUAUCAUUAUUACUAUUAUUAUUAGCAUCAUAAUUUAUUACAAUUACAUCUAAUAUUCAGAGAGCUCUGUACUUAACUGCCAGACACUCUGCUAACAUGAUUUUAUUUGAUGUUAUUCAUAUGACAACCCUGGGAAACGGACAAUAGUAUUAUCCUCAUUUGAAACAAACCUGCCAGAGGUUACUGAAAGUAGCAAAUCUAGGAUUUGAACCCAGGCAUUGGUUCCAGAAUCCAAGCUCUUAACCGAACUCAAAACAAAAAAGUCAUAUGGUGGCAGAUACCACUCUUGGAAUAUUUUUCUCGUUACGUAUAGUGUGAUGGAACCCCCAGGUAUUGUUUUGGUAUAUGGCACCUAGAAAUAAAGACAAACAUUACUGGCUCUGUUAAAAGGGGGUGCAGUCAGAGAAAGAUGUUCACUCUGAUGUAAUGAAAUGGAGGUGAUAUGUACAAGACUAGAGACAUUCAGAGAAGAGACUGCAGAGAAUAUUCUCCUUUGCUCCUUCCUUCUUCCCAGUGGUGAUUCUGCAGUUGCUGCCUCGGCUGCAGGCUUGCCCAUGGUUAAGAGUUCUCUUCGCAUUCUGGGAGCCACCUAGAGGUAAAGGCCAAAUGAAUGUAUCGUCUUUCUACCCCAAACUGUUGUUUUAGAAAGCUGUGAUGUAGCUUCUUCAAGGAAAGAAAAGUGGAAUAAGAGUUCAGGAUCUAGUAUGCAUGAAAUUAGCUUUUAGGCUUAAAGUCUACGUCUAGACAAAAAUGUUCGGCUGCAGUUUCUUGGACACGGGGACCAAGCAAACAAAUCAAAACCCUUCACAAAGAGUUGAAAUGAGUGAAAAGUCAUGAGCCUAGCCUACAAAAAUUUGUGAAAAUUCAUUCUUUAAAAUCAACUUAGGGGGCUCCCAAACCCGCAGGUCACAAAAACUCUGGAUACUCUAGGAAGGGCAUCCUGGGAUGGUUUAUGGAAGAUAGGGGACAAAGAACAAUCUCCCAGAGACAGAGGCUGGUACUACAGACAAAAAGGAGAUUUUUUUUUUUCUCCCUUAGAAAGAAGAAUCAGGGACUGAGAGCUCAACAAGCUUGAAAACUUAUGGUACCACCCAUAAAGGAAACCUUUCUUGGUCUUAUCAAGGGAAGCUUGAUAAUUGCUGUUGACCAGAAGCCUACUACUUAUUACUUGGGAAUUUUAAUUAUGAUUACUCUUUAACAGUUUUCUACCACUUAUAAACAAUCAGGCCAUCGGAAGCCCUAUCUUGGCUCAAUGGGAGGAAGUGAACAUCCCUAGAGACCUUGCACUUGGAGGGAGCUUUGGAAUUGUUUCUCUGGAAGUGACAAUCAGUGUGUUUCGAGCGCAAGCAUCAGUGCUUAUGGAUAUGUCAUAUCAGAGGCCGAUGGGUCUUUUCCAGUUUCCGUUUAUCCUUCUUCACUAGGAGGAACUUAGAAUAUAAAUUAGGCACAUGAGUACCUUGUGUAAAGCUGGCAUUUUCCAAGUUAUCUUGAAGCUAAGUGUUGCAGUGUGACAAUGUUCUGGUCAUGGUCAGGGUCUUGUAGAGGUGGUUUGUAUAGCUUCUGACAAGUCUUAACAAAGGCAAUGAUGCAGUGAGGGGUCUCAGUGUUACCUUUUUCUGUUGGAUUGAAUACCAAUGUGAUAGCUGGAGUUGCACAGCCAUCUGGGACUAUGACGUAGAAAUGCAGUAUGGAGAAUCCUUGGUUCCUAAUGAUGUUUAAGCCAUAAUAUUUGUCUUCGAAUGCCUAUGUUGCAUGACAGAGACUAACUUUGUGUAUUUUAUGCCUGUUAAAAACCACUGUUAUUUAUUUACUUUUAAAAUUUCUAUCCAAGCUAUAUCCCUAUUAAUUCAUGUUGAAUGACAAUUAAAUAAGACUCGUACCAUGAUAAACCUGGUAAAAAUGU
This is a long non-coding RNA of Acinonyx jubatus (cheetah), 4169 nucleotides long. RefSeq lists it as uncharacterized. The record is from RefSeq and is a predicted model, not a curated record. The transcript has 3 exons. Lineage: Eukaryota; Metazoa; Chordata; Mammalia; Carnivora; Felidae.